GUCUAUGGCCAUGCUACCCUGAACAAGCCCGAUCCCAUCUGAUCUCGGAAGCUAAGUGGGGUUGGGCCUGGUUAGUACUUAGAUGGGAGACCACCUAGGAAGACCAGAUGCUGUAGGUG
Molecule: ribosomal RNA, 119 nt
Filed under: Pteropus alecto (black flying fox)
Lineage: Eukaryota; Metazoa; Chordata; Mammalia; Chiroptera; Pteropodidae
Source: RNAcentral